UUGGUCAAACAACAAUGCAUUCAUUCAUUCAAACAUAAAAGUGUUAUCCUCCAACAGAGGAGUUUACAGAAAGCAGAGUGAGAGCAGACUUUGCCACCAAGUCAGCCUCGCCAUUAAAGGUCCUAGAGAUAAAGUGAAAAGAAAUCCGAUCAAAGUACGACAAAGCAUGAUAGAUAUCAAACAUGAUACCGAACAGUUCAGGUUGAGUGGCUUCCUUCUUCGCUAUUAUUCAAACAGCACCCCCAAAUAUUCAAAGUUUUAAUCCGUGUUUCUAACAAUGUAACAUACAACAAAAAAAUUGAGUAAGGACUCAAGGUAUAUAUGAUUAGUAGAAGAAAAUAUAAGUAGCCGAAAAUAUAAUCGUUAGUCUUACUUUCAAACGCCAGUCUAUAUAUUUGAGAUUGAUGUAAUUUUCAUGUAAAAUACAAUAUUGUGUCACUUUGCAUGUUACUAUCAGAUCCAAAUGAUUAAUUGAUAAUUACAUAGUGAAAAAUACGAGGCGAACGAGUAUGAAAAUAUACGCACCGGUGAUAUAUUUGGUGACGAUUGUCUCAAAUCCAAAGCGGCAAGUGUCGCAGUAAACACAUCCUUCUAUAUGAAAUGGUGUUCCAGCCGCCAUGGCCGCAAGUGGCAGUAGCAAAACACACAUCACGGCGAGCAGAGGUGUAUAUGAUCUAGCCAUCUACAUAAACAACUGAAGAAUGAUACUAUAAUUUUUGGAGUUUGUUUUUUUUUUUGAGAGUUUGUUGCUUGUGAAGGGGUUUUGUGAAUUAAUUAUUUGCGAGCUACCUAGUAUAUAUAAGAAGGAAGCUGAAAGGCACAUGUAUCAAAGAUGUAAGUGUAUCGCAUCGUGUGCGAAUUAAAAAAAAAGCUUGCUUAGUGUCGGCUAGAUCCAAUUGCGGCUCCUCCUCCGCCUUCUACGGCAAAUGUGGAUAGAGUUUGUGUUGCCUCCUCCACAUGUCUAACUCGUACGGUUCUUGUUAAUUCUAGUCUACGUUUUAAGCUUUUUUUUUUAACAACCAAUGCUUAUAUUAAAAUUAAACGCCCAAUGGGCUAAGUCGAUUACAACCGAAGAGAUAUUCGACGGUAAAAUGAUAAGCAAACAUAACUAAAACAUAAAAAAGAUAGAUGUGGCUAAGGAAAAAAGAACCCCGUAGAAAAUCUUCGCUUGUUGUCCUAAAGCCCGCGUUUGAAAGAACAUACAAAAGUCGACAUUGACGUUGAAGAACCCAACCAAUGGGUUUUGAGAACAAUUGAAAACCGUCUCUGAAAAUGCAUGGAUCUCCCGACGUUGCAGUGACACUGAAGUGCAGAGAAGUUGCCGGAGUAGGACUACACACAUAAUCGUCGACGGUACAACCGCUAAAGAAAAACAGUUAACAAAGUCAGGAGAAGGCAUUGACAAUGAUUGCUUGGCCGGCAAGAGAUGCAAAAUCCAAACAUGGUGAACAUCCACAAGAUCGAGGCCGCCUUAGUAACUACAUAGUUACAGGUGAACAUUGACAACCUCUAUGUUUCGAGCUACGGUUUAUUUUUUUGGACAAGUAUAGAUUGUUAUUUUCAGGAUUAUUUUCACUAGUUAUUAGUUUAUCAUUUCUUCAGUCUACGUGAAAAGAACAAAACAUGGUGAACAUCUACAAGAUCGAGGCCGCCUUAGUAACUACAUAGACAGACUUGUCAGGGACCGCAUUGACUCACUCCGAGGCUCUGCAAAUGGCAGCUUUGACACACACUUGCAGGCUUGGUUUACAAGCUGAUGAGAGAAGAUGAGAGCUUUAGAAUCAGUUUUUUAAAUAGUUUCUAUAAACACAACUCAAACAAAGUUACAUAGGUUGUAAAAAAAAAAUUUGAUCAGAAUAAAUUUAACAUUCAUUCAAAAAUAACAAAAAAAAUCGUUUUCACAGAGUUUUCUAGACUGAAUCAAAGGCGUUGAUUUUUAUUUUUAAGUAGAAGACCAAGAAAACAAUAUGUUUUUAUUAGAUAAAAAUUAUUAAAUUUCCUCUUCAAAUUGCGUAAUGGCUUUUCCAUACCAUGUUGAUCCAUGAUUUUGUAUCGUAGGUUGGUUAUGUACAGUAUUAUUUAAUUUAAAUAAAAAUUAUAAAUAGUGAUGACUAAUUAAUUUUGUCUUGAUUAAAUUCAGUUUUGACGUUAACCGUGGCUUAUAAUAACAGGAAAAACGUUGGUACUUGGAAGGUGAAAGUGACCGCGGGAUUAGUAAAAGUCUUGUCCAUUUGAUGGUCGGUUACAUUAGCAGCAAUUGAUCUUAUGAACAAGACUUAUUGGGCCCAGAGGAACCGAUGACAGCCACUACACGUCUUAAAUACAAACAAAAUAGUCCACAAAAGAGAAAGCGCCAGAGAGUCCCCAAGUCUGGAAAGCCGAUAAGUCAACACGGAACUCUCCUUCCUCCAAGUCAGGCAAAGAAGCCGUAUGAGAAACAUUCUUUGAACAUGUGAUUAAGGCCCUGUUCGUUACGGAAUCGCUGCGGCAGCGACCAGAAAAUUAACACUAAUGAAGAGCGAAGUAGCUAUGGUGGAACAGAAAUAGUCGCUGGAAGUGAUUUCCGGAUAACUCCGUGACGUCUUUUAUGGACGCCAAUUUUUUCAGCGACGUCUCUUGUUUGCCGCUGCGACACUAAAUAGCUCCUUCACCCACGUUUCACUCCAUUAAUUAAUAGAAUCACUGUUAUAUUUUCUGUCGCUGCUGCUGCCGCAGCGGUUCUGAAACGAACAGGGCCUAAGGAGGGAGGAGUACGAAGAUGAGGUGGCGAUGAGGAUGCAUGCGUGGGACAUGGAAGGGAUGCCUCUAGGGAAGGAGUCCCCAAGUCUCCUUUGCAAAGUAAGCCGUAUUCUUCUUCGCCGUGAAGCAAACACAGUUUUUUUAUUGUUGGGUGCAAAUGUUAGAAGCAAACAAAGUUGUUUUGGGUCAAAGUGCAAACACAGAUUUUAACCGAACAGAGGGAUACACAAGCAAGCUCGAAGUAAUUCUCUGUCGACAAAGCAAGGUCCAAAUUUGAAAGUGUCUUGCAUAGAUUUUUUUUUUUUUUAGUUUUUUUGGUCAAACAACAAUGCAUUCAUUCAUUCAAACAUAAAAGUGUUAUCCUCCAACAGAGGAGUUUACAGAAAGCAGAGUGAGAGCAGACUUUGCCACCAAGUCAGCCUCGCCAUUAAAGGUCCUAGAGAUAAAGUGAAAAGAAAUCCGAUCAAAGUACGACAAAGCAUGAUAGAUAUCAAACAUGAUACCGAACAGUUCAGGUUGAGUGGCUUCCUUCUUCGGUAGAGAGACGAGGGAGAGCGAAUCGGUUAGAACGGCCAGGGAUCGGACGUUUGAAUAGACGGAUGUAACAACCGCGAGGCGAACAGCUAUGGCCUCUGCCAUA
Molecule: long non-coding RNA, 3379 nt
Filed under: Brassica napus (rape)
Lineage: Eukaryota; Viridiplantae; Streptophyta; Magnoliopsida; Brassicales; Brassicaceae
Description: long non-coding RNA (BNAP_LNC022468)
Source: RNAcentral